Molecule: ribosomal RNA, 254 nt
Filed under: uncultured bacterium
Lineage: Bacteria
Description: partial 16S ribosomal RNA
Rfam family: Bacterial small subunit ribosomal RNA
Source: RNAcentral
UACGGAGGGUGCGAGCGUUGUCCGGAAUCACUGGGCGUAAAGGGCGCGUAGGUGGCUUGGCAAGCGUGUGGUGAAAGCCCGGGGCUCAACCCCGGGUCUGCCGUGCGAACUGCUAUGGCUUGAGCACUGUAGAGGCAGGUAGAAUUCCGGGUGUAGCGGUGGAAUGCGUAGAUAUCGGGAGGAACAUCAGUGGCGAAGGCGGCUACCUGGCCCAAUACUGACACUCAGGUGCGACAGCGUGGGGAGCAAACAGG